GAGGCGACCUCCUCCUGCUGAGCCGCCUCAGCUUCUUCCCCCGAGCUGGGCUGAGUCCGCGGCCAGCCAAGGCGCCUCUUCUCCGGGGUCCGAGGAGCCUCCCGCGUCCCCGUUUGUCACUGAGGGGGAUGAUGAAGACAUGAGGUCAACAACAUCUUACUGAGAUUUCAUCAUUCAGAAACAACAAGAGCAGUUCCUGGGAUCUCCUUCAGCACUCGUAAUAUGGAAUUAUAACAUUUCCUUUCUUACGUCGUCUCACAUCCUGCACGUUCCAGCCAGCACAAUUUUCCUUUCAGAGGUUAAUUCCAAAGUGCCAUCGAUGAAAAGGAGAGGGCUGAUUGUCACCCUUAGCCGAUUUAACCGUGCAAGAGUAUUGGAGAAACUUGUUUUCCCCGUCCUUGAUUGGAUUGACGAAUUAAAGCGAACAUUUUGAAUUGAAAGUGAGCAUGAUAGGAUCUUGAGCAUAUGGUACUUCACAACUGAGGAAGGCGAACGAUGGCGUCCAGAGAGAGGCUGUAUGAACUUUGGAUGCUCUAUUGCAAUAAGAAAGACCCAGACUACUUGAAGCUCUGGUUGGACAGUUUUGUUUCUAGUUAUGAACAGUUUCUGGAUGUGGAUUUUGAAAAGCUGCCCACUAGGGUGGAUGAUAUCCCCCCGGGAAUAUCGCUGCUUCCUGAUAACAUCCUUCAGGUCUUGAGGCUUCAGUUGCUGCAGUGUGUCCAGAAAUUGUCAGAAGGGCUGGAAGAACCACAGCAGGCCUUGUCGCUUCUCCUGGUCAAAUUCUUCAUUAUUCUUUGCCGAAAUUUGGCUAAUGUGGAGGAGAUUGGCACCUGUUCCUAUAUUAACCAUGUUAUUACGAUGACUACACUGUAUAUUCAGCAGCUAAAGAGCAAAACGAAGGAGAAAGAAGUCGCCGACCAGACGCCCAUAGAAGAGUUUGUAAGACACGCGCUGGCUUUUUGCGAAAGCCUGUACGACCCCUAUCGCAACUGGAGGCAAAGAAUCGCUGGACGAAUUCUGAGCAGUGUUGAAAAAAGCAGGCAGAAGUACAAACCAGCUUCCCUUACAGUGGAGUUUGUCCCUUUCUUUUACCAGUGUUUUCAAGAAAGUGAGCAUCUCAAAGAGAGCCUGAAGUGUUGUUUGCUACACCUCUUUGGAGCGAUUGUGGCUGGUGGGCAGAGAAACGCUCUCCAAGCCAUAUCUCCUGCCACCAUGGAAGUCUUGAUGCGCGUACUGGCAGACUGCGACGCCUGGGACAGCCGAGACCCCGACGAAGUGAGCAGGAAGGCCGAGCUGACCCUGAAGUGCCUGACGGAAGUGGUUCACAUCCUUUUGACCAGCAGCUCGGACCAGCGGCAAGUGGAGACCAGCACCAUAUUGGAGAACUACUUCAAGCUGCUCAACUCGGACCACACGGCUUUGCCAAACUCGCGGAGGUCCCGGCAGUGGGAGAGCCGGUUCAUAGCGCUACAGAUUCAAAUGCUGAAUACCAUCACCGCCAUGUUAGACUGCACAGACAGGCCUGUUCUGCAAGCCAUUUUCCUUAACAGCAACUGCUUUGAACAUCUGAUUCGCCUGCUGCAAAAUUGCAAGCUGUUUUUAAAUGCUAACAGUCAGGUGGCAGACAAGACUGAGAAAGACCUUGCCAACAAAUUACUGACAGAAAUGAAUCAGGAACAGGUAUUUCAGGGACAGCUAGACUGCUUGGCGGUAUCAGCCAUUCGAGCCCUUACAGCUGUGAUGCACAAAUCUCCCGCUGCUAAGGAGGUGUUUAAGGAGCGGAUUGGUUAUGCCCAUAUAUUUGAGGUCCUAAAAUCUAUGGGUCAGCCAUCACGGGAACUGCUUGAAGAACUUUUGAACAUGGCCGUUGAAGGUGAUCACGCCUCUGUUGGGAUGCUGGGCAUAAGCAACGUCCAGCCCUUGUUGCUGUUGAUUCAGUGGCUCCCAGAUCUCGAGUCGCACGAUCUCCAGGUCUUCAUCUCAGGCUUGCUGAAGCGAAUUUGCUGCAUCAACCGGCAGAGCCGGGCCAUCUGUGUCAAUACGAGCAUGGUCCUCCGCAUCGUGGAGACCCUCGGCCAACACACCCUGCUCCACGGAGCCUGCGCCGAGAACCUGAUUGUCCUCUUGGGCUCCCUAGGGAGCCAGUCGAUGAGCUCCGAAGAACUCCACCAGCUCAUCAGGCUGCUGAGGACUAAGGACCCCAAACAGACGCACCCUUACGUUGUCCCGGUGAUGCGCGCAAUCCUGACGAUGGCUCGGAAGCAGGGCCUGGAUAGCGCCUUGCAAUAUUUUGACCUCUCCCACAGCAUGGCGGGCAUUGCCGUCCCACCUAUUCACAAGUGGCCGGGUUCUGCGUUUGCUUUCAGCGCUUGGCUGUGCCUGGACCAAGAACAAACGACUCCUGGUGCCAGCGGCAAGGGGCCCAAGAGGAAACAGCUCUACAGCUUUUUUACAGGCAAUGGAACAGGGUUUGAGGCAUUUAUUACAUGUUCAGGGAUGCUAGUGGUUGCCGUGUGUACAAAGAAGGAAUAUGCGACCGUGAUGCUGUCGGAUCAUUGCUUCUGUGAUUCUCUUUGGCACAACAUAAGCAUUGUUCACAUGCCUGGGAAGAGGCCCUUCGGUCAAAGCCUUGUAUAUAUUUAUGUGAAUGGACAGCAGAAGAUCUCGGCCCCCCUCAGAUUUCCUGCCAUGAAUGAAUCUUUUACUUCUUGCUGCAUUGGUUCUGCUGGCCAAAGGACAACUACUCCACCGCCAUCCCAGAUCCCAGAUCCGCCUUUUUCAUCUCCUGCUCUGCCCCAUCGGACGUCGCUGGGUGGUAUUCUUAGCCCAGGCAGCUGGAGUGGGCUGCUGGGCAAGCCGGAACACAUCACUAAGCUGAUCUCGGCAGGAACGCAGGACAGCGAGUGGGGAUGCCCUACCUCUCUCGAAGGCCAGCUUGGAUCAGUCAUCAUAUUUCAUGAAGCGUUGCAGCCUACUCAUGUGAAAGCGUUGUAUUUGGCAGGUCCAAACUGCUUAACUCCAUGGAAAUCUCAAGACUCCGAAGCAGCCGAUUUGCCCAGUAAAAUGCUUCUUCAUUAUACACCCAAGGCUUGCAGAAGCCCAAUAUGCCUUGACCUUUCCCCCAAUCUUCUACAUGGAAGGCUAACAGGGAACAAAGUGGUGAAUUGGGACAUCAAGGAUAUGAUCAACUGUGUUGGUGGACUGAAUGUGCUGUUUCCACUUCUGGAGCAGAUCAGCUACCUCGAUGGGCAGCUACCUGAGAGGCUUGAUGUGGAAUCGGUUGCUCCUGAAUUGCAGACACCUGUAGAAGGAGAUUGGGUGGUGUUAACCUCCACCAAGGCUUCGGAGGCUCGUUUAGAGAAGAACAUUGUUGCAACUUUCAUCCUGAUGAUAAAGCACUUUAUUCAAAGGCACCCAAUCAACCAGGACAAUCUUGUUCACUCGCAUGGAGCCGCAACCUUAGGAGCCCUGUUGCAGAAGGUGCCAAGCAGCUUCAUGGAUGUGAAUGUCUUGAUGGCCGUCCAGUUGUUGAUAGAACAGGUCUCUGUGGCGAAAAACGCACCGCUUCUCCAGCAGAUGUAUCAACACUUGCUUUUUGACUUCAGCGUCUGGAAUCGGGGAGACUUCCCGUUCCGAAUCGGUCACAUCCAGUACCUUUCUACAAUUAUCAAAGACAGUCGGAGGCUCUUCCGAAAAAAGUAUGGCGUGCAGUUUUUACUGGAUACACUGAGGAUCUAUUAUGGAAACAGCUCCAAAGACAGUGACUUGGCGCCAGAUGAUCUUAAAACAAUAAGAACAUCUCUGUAUGGAUUAAUAAAGUACUUCCUGAGCAAAGGUGGGGCGCAUGAGGAAGUGCAGAGCAUCAUGGGCUAUAUAGCAGCCAUCAAUGAUGAGGAGCAGCUCUGUGGCGUCCUGGAAGUACUUUUCAGCCUGCUCCACACCAGCCCAACUCGAGACCAGCUUUUCUUGUUGCUUUUUGAGCCAGGAAAUGCAGACAUCCUCUAUGCUUUGCUGCUGAACCAGAGGUACUCAGAUGGACUACGGGAGCUUGUGUUCAAGAUCAUGGGGCAGAUGUUGAAGUGCACCAAAGUCUAUGAGCGGAGCAAACAGCGUAUGAAACUCAGAGAAGUCGGGUAUUCCGGACUGGGACUGCUCCUGAACGAAUCUCCAGUGACCACAUCUCUUAUUAAGAACCUUCUCAACCAAGUUCUUCAUGCAGAUCCAGUCGUGAAUUACAGGGACUUUAUAGCAGUGGUGCAUCUGGCUCACAGAGCAGAUAUCAAUGUCCGAGUGGCCAUCUGUCAAAAGCUUUUGCAAAUCUUCCAUAGCCAGCCGGAUUCAGCGCAUCAGAUUUCUCAGCAGCGUGGCUGGCAGGAGACGUUGGCGAGACUCUUCCUGAAAGAGAAUGCCGAGGUCAGGAACGGUGCGAGGGAGAUCAGGAACGACUCCGCCAAAGAGGGUGAAAAACACACCACGGGUAAAGACUUUCAGAAACACUCUUCUUCAAAGGCCGACGGGGGAGACGCUACCGGUUUUGCAUCUCUCAACGGUUCCUGCGAUCGGUGGAGCCUAGAAGACACCAAACCUGGGGUGAUGUUGGAAGAUCCUUCCGGGGCAGAGAUGUCGUUCAUGGCUGAGGACCAAGAUGAGCUGUGGCGGAAGAACCCUUCUCACCUGAGCUUGGACCUGUCGAGCGUUGACUCCUACGAACUGGGCGACGGUGGGAGUCAGAUGGUGGACAGCCUGCCCAGCACCCCUUCGCCUGUCGAGAACACCAAAACAUUCUCUGGGCAUCUUGAGAAAGAGCAAAACACUGCGGCAGAGGUGGCAUUCUCGGCAGAUCUCUCAUUAUUUGAAAUUCGCGAGGCAUGUGAAGAAGAUCUCAUACAAUUACUCACCGAUGCCCUGCUUUGUGUGAUGUGGAGAGGCAUAGAAAGAUCUGACGAUGCUGCGUGGGUUGAGAGGGGGCAGGUUUUUUCUGCCCUCACCAAAUUGGGGAUAUCCAAUGAGCUGCUACGGCCAACGGAUGAAAUAAAACUCAACUUGCUAGAGAAGAUGUUGGAAUGGGCAGUCACGGACAACAGAGACGCUAAAUCUCUCCCAGUGUAUGCAGAAAACGCCUUCCGGCUCCUGCUUAUCGUGCAAGAUUUCCUGCAGGCGGAAGGGCUUGUUAAUUCAAGUCUGUGGACGGAAAAGCUCUUAGAAGAGUUGGUGACUCUCAUGGAUACCUUGUCCGUCUGGUACUCUUCCGGCCCAGAGUAUGUCAAGUUCUACCAAGUACAAGUCCAGAUGCUGCUUGGAUUCAUUGGACAGGAUAAUUUGCAGGUUUGCGCAAUGGCUGCAGCCAAACUAAACACCCUCCUUCAGACCAAAGUGCUGGACAACCAACUGGAGUCCUGCUACCUCCUGGGCAGGCUGGAGGGCAUUCUGAGCCGAUCGAUCAAGGAAAAGACAGAGACAUACUCUUUCCUGAUCCCUCUCGUCCGGACGCUGGUUUCCAAAAUAUACGAGCUGCUCUUCAUGGACCUGCACUUGCCCUCCCUGCCUUCGACCAACGGGAGCCCUUCCUUUUUUGAGGACUUCCAGGACUAUUGCAACACGGAGGAAUGGCAGACUUAUAUUGCCAAAUUUAUCAUUCCACAUAUGAAGCAGUACGAACUCAGCACUUUCAGCGACGGCCACGAGCGCAUGGCAGUAUUUUGGAAGGAUUGUUAUGAGGAACUGAUGGUCAACAUCCAUAAACGAGAGCGGGAGCGAGGAGAAAGCAAGCUCAAAUUCCAGGAGUUUUUCGUGGAGCCAUUCAACCGACGGGCAAGGCAAGAAAACCUGCGUUACAACAGCAUGUUGAAGCAGCUGAACAAUCAGCACACGGCAACUCUCCGACAGUGGAGAGCUGCAAAACUGUACCUCACGUGUGAGCAGGGACCCUGGGCUGAAAGGAAGCUAAAUCGUAUUCACUGGAAACUUUCAAAUGUGGAAAAUUACUCACGGAUGAGGCUAAAGUUGGUACAAAAUUACAAUUUCAAUUCUCACCAGGAGGCCAGUGCCCUAAGGGAUAAUCUAGGAGUCCAGCAGGCGCCACCAACCAGCGAGGCUUUGCUUCUGGAGGCUGUGAAGCAAGUGAAAGUCAGCGAUAUGGAGGAUGAUAUACUUGAACUGCCAGAUGAAGAUCCAGCAUCUAAUACAAGCAUGGAUGAAAAGGAGGAGCAGAGCCAGAAAGAAAAACUUGUGCUCUCUGAAGACUGCGAACUUAUUACAAUCAUUAAUGUCAUCCCCGGCAGGCUGGAGGUCACUACCCAGCACAUUUACUUCUACGAUGGCAGCAUUGAAAAAGAGGAAGGUAUAGGUUUUGAUUUCAAAUGGCCUCUUUCUCAGAUUCGAGAGAUUCAUUUGCGUCGCUAUAACUUGAGGAGGUCCGCUCUGGAGAUCUUCUUCGUUGACCAGACCAAUUACUUCCUGAACUUUAAAAAGGAGGCAAGAAAUAAAGUGUACAGCCGAAUUCUGUCUCUGUGUUCCCCAAAUAUUAGUGGGACAAGAUCUCCACAAGAAUUAUUUAAAGCAUCUGGACUGACCCAGAAAUGGGUAAACAGAGAGAUCUCAAACUUUGACUACCUCAUUCAAUUAAACACAAUGGCAGGACGAACCUAUAACGACCUUGCGCAGUAUCCUGUAUUUCCAUGGGUCCUACAGGAUUAUACUUCAGAAGAAUUGGAUCUCAAUAACCCGGCCGUGUUCAGGGAUCUGUCCAAGCCCAUUGGCGUGGCGAAUGAAAAGAACGCCAAGGCUGUACUGGAAAGAUAUGAGAACUUUGAAGACCCACUUGGAAUUGUCGACAAGUUCCACUACGGCACUCACUAUUCCAACGCAGCUGGAGUCAUGCAUUACCUCAUCCGGGUAGAGCCUUUCACCACAUUGCACAUCCAGCUUCAGAGUGGCAGAUUUGACUGUGCGGAUCGGCAGUUCCAUUCCAUUCCUGCCACCUGGCAAGCUCUCAUGGAGAACCCCAACGAUGUGAAAGAGCUCAUCCCAGAAUUCUUCUACUUUCCAGAGUUCUUAGAGAAUCAAAAUAAUUUCAGCUUGGGGCAGCUGCAGAUCUCGAAAGAAGUCGUGAAUGAUGUUCUCCUCCCGAAAUGGGCGCAGUCACCAGAGGACUUCAUUUUUAAACACAGGAAAGCUUUGGAGUCGGAGUACGUCUCUGCUCAUCUCCACGAGUGGAUAGAUCUGAUUUUUGGCUACAAACAGAGAGGGCCAGCUGCGGUGGAGGCCAUGAAUGUGUUCUAUUACUGUACUUACGAAGGAGCUGUAGAUCUUGAUGCCUUGACCGACGAGAAAGAAAGGAAAGCUUUAGAGGGGAUGAUUAACAAUUUUGGACAAACCCCUUGUCAGCUACUCAAGGAGCCGCAUCCUGCAAGACUGUCUGCGGCGGAAGUGGUGCAAAAGCAGACCAGAAAUGAAAACGCUGCAUUUCACCUGUUCCAACAUCUCCCUGAAUUGAAGUCAUUCUUCAUUGAGGGGAUCAGCGAUGGGAUACCUAUUGUUAAGUCCAUUGUCCCCAGGAAUCAGUCACGUUCUUUCAUGUCACAAGGGAGCCCAGAGAUUUUGGUAACAGUGAGUCAGAACUGCGUCAUUGGAACUCACGGGUGGUUGCCUUACGACAGAAAUAUCUCCAACUAUUUCACUUUUCUGAGAGAUCAAACUGUGACAAAUCCCAAAACACAACGAAGCGUGAGUGGUCCUUUUGCGCCAGGACUGGAGAUCACACCCAAGUUGUUUGUAGCAUCUCACGAUGCAAAGCUGCUAUUUAGUGGAGGCCAUUGGGACAACAGCAUCAGAGUGACGUCACUCACAAAGGGGAAAUUGAUGGCACAGCAUAUUAGGCACAUGGAUAUAGUGACAUGCCUGGCUAUGGAUUUCUGCGGAAUCCAUUUAAUUUCGGGCUCGAGGGACACCACUUGUAUGAUAUGGCAAGUUGUUCAGCAGGGAGGCGUGCCUGUAGGCCUGGCACCUAAACCGUUGCAGAUUCUGUAUGGACACACCCAUGAAGUUUCUUGUGUUGGCAUCAGUACAGAACUGGACAUGGCUGUGUCAGGGGGCAGGGACGGCACUGUGAUUGUGCAUACGAUUCGGAAAGGUCAGUACGUGAAGACUCUGCGGCCGCCCUGCGAGAGAGCUCUCUCGCUCACUGUCCCAAAUCUUGCCGUCUCCUGGGAAGGACAUAUAGUUGUCCACACCAGUGUAGAAGGAAAGACAACUCUCAAGGAUAAAAAUGCACUACAUCUCUAUUCUGUGAAUGGAAGGUACUUGGGCUCUGAGAGCCUGAAAGAGGACGUGUCGGAUCUGUGCGUGGCUGGGGAAUAUAUUGUCACAGGGAGCCUACAGGGAUUUCUAUCCAUACGAGAUCUCCACAGCCUCAGCCCCAGCACCUCCCCGUUGGCCAUGCGGCUGCCGAUCCGCUGUGUGUCUGUGACCAAAGAGUCCAGCCAUAUUCUGGUGGGCCUCGAGGACGGCAAGUUGAUCAUCAUCGGCGUCGGAAAACCGGCAGAGAUGCGUGUGGGACAGCUCUCUCGAAAAUUGUGGGGUUCAAGCAAACGCAUCAGCCAGAUUUCAUCAGGAGAGACUGAAUAUAACACGCAAGAUUCCAUGUGAUUUCUGCUCCUGCCUCCUCUUGAGGAAUUCCACACAUUUAUUUAAUCUUCUGAUUAUUUUCCAAUCAUGUCUUUGGAAAUUGGGUAAUUUAUUUCAGGGAUGAAGAGCCUUUGGCCUGCCAGAUUUUGUUCAACUUUUGUUCAGUCAGCACGGCCAAAGAUCCAAGAUGAUAGGAGUUUUUAGUCCAGCAACAUCUCUGCAGGCCACAGGUUUCCCCAUGUCUUCUGAUUUAUUUAUUUAAAGGAUCAAUGCUCUUGUAUUGUGCUCUUUAACAAAGGUUAUUAAAAAAAAAGUAUUUAGUGGGUUUGUUUUAAUAAAUCUGGCUCGGGUGUGUAGAAAUUCUGAUUGGAAAUAACUUUGCUGCUUAUUAUAGGGAUCAACUGGGAUUUCAGGGAUUAAGCCAUUUUCACACAGGGCUGAAAUUGAGCAUGUGCUUAUACGUGUGGGAGCAAGUUAAAAUGAAAGCAGUCGUUAAUUUAGCAAUACCAAAGAUAAUCUGGAAGUGUUGAAACAUUUAUGAAUGUGAAACUGGUUCAUUAAGGUUUAAAAGUGAAGGAGUAUUGAUGAAUAUUCUGGAACGAGUCACCUUUUCUUUUUUUAAUUCAAAAAACUAGGUGAUAUAAUUAUGCGGUUAUGGGUGGGUUUCUACAGUGUGUUGUUUGGGGGCAUUAUGUUGAUGGUUAUUUUGGAUUUUUUUAAAAAAAAAACUAUAAAGAAAUGUCAGCCUGGUAAACAAAGACUAAUUCAGAGGAGCAAACUAGAGAAAUUGUGAGAACUGUUCACAUGCUUGUUCUUUCUCCAGUGAUAUUUGGAAGGCCUCCCAGCAAAACUCUGAGUAACUUAUGAGUCUUCUAACUUUCGAAGAAAAUAAUUACGGAAAGCCAACAUGGUGGCCUCACAAUAUCGUUGGAUGCACUGCCAUCAGACUUGGUCACUGUUGCCAAUGGUUGGGGAAUGAUGGGAGUUGCAAUCUGACAACGCCUUGAAGGCAUCACGUUGGCUGUGGGUCAAUGGAAAUAUUGGGCACAUGGAAAUUUAUCCAUCUUCAAUCUGUGUAGAACUUCCCUCCACAGCCAAGUGGGGCUUAUAGACUGAGUCCUUACACACCUUCAACUACGCUUCCAUUCAGAGAAUGGAAGCCUAGUUUCAGAAGUGAUGCUAAGCCAUGGCUUAGCUCAGGCGUAGGCAGACUCGGCCCUCCAGAUGUUUUGGGACUACAACUCCCAUGAUCCCUAGCUAACAGGACCAGUGGUCAGGGAUGAUGGGAGUUGUAGUCCCAAAACAUCUGGAGGGCCAGGUUUGUGUAUGUCUGGCUUAGCUUAAGGGUAGGGCAGUAAUACCCUUAGGAGAAGCAGCUGCGGUUCUUACGGAGAAUACUGCCAUUUCGACAUCUUCUCUCGUAGUCGUGGUUUGGCUUGGGGUUACAUGACGGGUGUGCGAUUUCAGGUUCCCCACCUGCGCUGUAGCUGUCAGGUCUGUGUCCUGUGCCACCCCAGUGGCAUGGGUCAUACCAGGAAACCACACGCUUUGCUGGCCUCUCUGUAAACUCCUGUACUGGAGCAUUCAGGUUCCUCGUGCCACUUCCUAGCAUGUCAACGAAAAGUCUUCACUUUGAGAGCU
This is an RNA transcript of Podarcis raffonei (Aeolian wall lizard), 10266 nucleotides long. It is a transcript of the gene named neurobeachin like 1, with no coding region annotated. The transcript is spliced from 57 exons. The record is from RefSeq and is a predicted model, not a curated record. Lineage: Eukaryota; Metazoa; Chordata; Lepidosauria; Squamata; Lacertidae.